AAUCAACGCUGGCGGCGUGCCUCAGACAUGCAAGUCGAACGCGAAAGUCCCCUUCGGGGGGCAAGUAGAGUGGCGCACGGGUGAGUAACACGUAGGUAAUCUACCUUUGGAUGGGGAAUAACAACCGGAAACGGUUGCUAAUACCGCAUAAUGCAGCGGCACCUAAUGGUGACAGUUGUUAAAGCGGGGGAUCGAAAGACCUCGCGUCUAAAGAGGAGCCUGCGGCGGAUUAGCUAGUUGGUAAGGUAACGGCUUACCAAGGCUACGAUCCGUAGCCGGCCUGAGAGGGCGGUCGGCCACACUGACACUGACAUACGGGUCAGACUCCUACGGGAGGCAGCAGUCGGGAAUUUUGGGCAAUGGGCGAAAGCCUGACCCAGCAACGCCGCGUGAAGGAUGAAAUCCCUCGGGAUGUAAACUUCGCAAGAACGGGAAGAAUAAGUAGGGGACAAUACCCCCUAUGAUGACGGUACCGUUUGUAAGCUCCGGCUAACUCCGUGCCAGCAGCCGCGGUAAUACGGGGGGAGCAAGCGUUGUUCGGAUUUACUGGGCGUAAAGGGCGCGUAGGCGGCCAGCACAAGUCAGUUGUGAAAUCUCCGAGCUUAACUCGGAAAGGUCAACUGAUACUGUGCGGCUAGAGUGCAGAAGGGGCAACUGGAAUUCUUGGUGUAGCGGUGAAAUGCGUAGAUAUCAAGAGGAACACCUGCGGCGAAGGCGGGUCGCUGGGCUGACACUGACGCUGAGGCGCGAAAGCUAGGG
Molecule: ribosomal RNA, 759 nt
Filed under: uncultured soil bacterium
Lineage: Bacteria
Description: bacterial SSU rRNA
Rfam family: Bacterial small subunit ribosomal RNA
Source: RNAcentral